Non-coding RNA from Firmicutes bacterium CAG:822, 352 nucleotides. It matches the Rfam family "transfer-messenger RNA". Rfam says of the family: Bacterial tmRNA, also known as 10Sa RNA or SsrA, is named for its dual tRNA and mRNA-like properties. Its role is to liberate the mRNA from a stalled ribosome. Lineage: Bacteria; Bacillati; Bacillota. The record is from Rfam.
GGGGCCGUUUUUGGUUUCGACAGGAAUAUGGAAGGAUAAAUGGCAAGUCGGAGGGACACGUUAAGUCCAAACUUAAAUAUAACUGGAAACAGAAAUAAUUACGUACCAGCAUUUGCCUAAGGUUGGCAAGGUACACUCUUUUAAUUCUUUAGCUCUCGAAGGAUUUUAAGGGUUCGCUUUUAGAGAGAUAUAUCAUUAUUUAGCCUAGAGAUAAUGAUGAAUUUUAUAGGCUUACUGGUAGAGUAGUUGUUAGUUACUAAUCUUUACUGGGACAGUUUUUAACUAACUAAACUUGUAGAUGUUUAUUUGGAAGUGUUUCUGGACAGGAGUUCAAUUCUCCUCGGCUCCACCA